This 440-nucleotide ribosomal RNA is filed under the name uncultured bacterium. Its description in RNAcentral is "partial 16S ribosomal RNA". It matches the Rfam family "Bacterial small subunit ribosomal RNA", at positions 338 to 795 of the family's 1533-position model. The record is from RNAcentral.
CCUACGUGUGGCAGCAGUGGGGAAUAUUGGACAAUGGGGGGAACCCUGAUCCAGCGACGCCGCGUGAGUGAAGAAGUAUUUCGGUAUGUAAAGCUCUAUCAGCAGGGAAGAAAAUGACGGUACCUGACUAAGAAGCCCCGGCUAACUACGUGCUAGCAGCCGCGGUAAUACGUAGGGGGCAAGCGUUAUCCGGAUUUACUGGGUGUAAAGGGAGCGUAGACGGUGCAGCAAGUCUGAUGUGAAAGGUCGGGGCCCAACCCCGGGACUGCAUUGGAAACUGUUGAACUGGAGUACAGGAGAGGUAAGCGGAAUUCCUAGUGUAGCGGUGAAAUGCGUAGAUAUUAGGAGGAACACCAGUGGCGAAGGCAGCUUACCAAGCUACUUCUGACGUUGAGGCACGAAAGCGUGGGGAGCAAACAGGAGUAGAUACCCCAGUAGUC